Small nuclear RNA from Myodes glareolus (Bank vole), 105 nucleotides. The record is from RefSeq and is a predicted model, not a curated record. Lineage: Eukaryota; Metazoa; Chordata; Mammalia; Rodentia; Cricetidae.
GCGCUUACUUUGGCAGCACAUACACUAAAAUUGGAAUGAUACAGAGAAAAUUAGCAUGGUCCCUGUGAAACUGACAUGCAAAUUUGUGAAGCAUUCCAUGUUUUU